GAGCUGCCCGGGGAUAGACUCU
This 22-nucleotide microRNA is filed under the name Caenorhabditis briggsae. RNAcentral's name for it is "Cbr-Mir-22-P2-v1_3p (mature (guide))". The record is from RNAcentral. Lineage: Eukaryota; Metazoa; Nematoda; Chromadorea; Rhabditida; Rhabditidae.